CCUACGGGCGGCAGCAGUGGGGAAUAUUGGACAAUGGGGGCAACCCUGAUCCAGCCAUGCCGCGUGUGUGAAGAAGGCCCUCGGGUUGUAAAGCACUUUCAGUGAGGAAGAACGCCUGGUGGUUAAUACCCAUCAGGAAAGACAUCACUCACAGAAGAAGCACCGGCUAACUCCGUGCCAGCAGCCGCGGUAAUACGGAGGGUGCGAGCGUUAAUCGGAAUUACUGGGCGUAAAGCGCGCGUAGGUGGCUUGAUAAGCCGGUUGUGAAAGCCCCGGGCUCAACCUGGGAACGGCAUCCGGAACUGUCAAGCUAGAGUGAAGGAGAGGAAGGUAGAAUUCCCGGUGUAGCGGUGAAAUGCGUAGAGAUCGGGAGGAAUACCAGUGGCGAAGGCGGCCUUCUGGACUGACACUGACACUGAGGUGCGAAAGCGUGGGUAGCAAACAGGAUUAGAUACCCUUGUAGUC
This 465-nucleotide ribosomal RNA is filed under the name Vreelandella stevensii. RNAcentral describes it as "partial 16S ribosomal RNA". It matches the Rfam family "Bacterial small subunit ribosomal RNA", at positions 338 to 795 of the family's 1533-position model. The record is from RNAcentral. Lineage: Bacteria; Pseudomonadati; Pseudomonadota; Gammaproteobacteria; Oceanospirillales; Halomonadaceae.